CCUACGGGAGGCAGCAGUGAGGAAUAUUGGUCAAUGGACGCAAGUCUGAACCAGCCAUGCCGCGUGCAGGAAGACGGCUCUAUGAGUUGUAAACUUCUUUUGUACGAGGGUAAACUCAGAUACGUGUAUCUGUCUGAAAGUAUCUUACGAAUAAGGAUCGGCUAACUCCGUGCCAGCAGCCGCGGUAAUACGGAGGAUUCAAGCGUUAUCCGGAUUUAUUGGGUUUAAAGGGUGCGUAGGCGGUCGGAUAAGUUAGAGGUGAAAUCCCGAGGCUCAAAUUUGGAAUUGCCUGUGAUACUGUUCGGCUAGAGAGUAGUUGCGGUAGGCGGAAUGUAUGGUGUAGCGGGGAAAUGCGUAGAGAUCAUACAGAACACCGAUUGCGAAGGCAGCUUACCAAGCUACUUCUGACGUUGAGGCACGAAAGCGUGGGGAGCAAACAGGAUUAGAUACCCCAGUAGUC
RNAcentral lists this ribosomal RNA (460 nucleotides) under uncultured bacterium. RNAcentral's name for it is "partial 16S ribosomal RNA". It matches the Rfam family "Bacterial small subunit ribosomal RNA", at positions 338 to 795 of the family's 1533-position model. The record is from RNAcentral.